RNAcentral lists this ribosomal RNA (253 nucleotides) under uncultured bacterium. Its description in RNAcentral is "partial 16S ribosomal RNA". It matches the Rfam family "Bacterial small subunit ribosomal RNA", at positions 524 to 776 of the family's 1533-position model. The record is from RNAcentral.
UACGUAUGGGGCAAGCGUUAUCCGGAUUUACUGGGUGUAAAGGGAGCGCAGGCGGCCUGGCAAGCCUGAUGUGAAAUACCGGGGCCCAACCCCGGGGCUGCAUUGGGAACUGCCAGGCUGGAGUGCCGGAGAGGCAGGCGGAAUUCCUAGUGUAGCGGUGAAAUGCGUAGAUAUUAGGAGGAACACCAGUGGCGAAGGCGGCCUGCUGGACGGUGACUGGCGCUGAGGCUCGAAAGCGUGGGGAGCAAACAGG